Molecule: ribosomal RNA, 301 nt
Filed under: uncultured bacterium
Lineage: Bacteria
Description: partial 16S ribosomal RNA
Rfam family: Bacterial small subunit ribosomal RNA
Source: RNAcentral
CAGUCGCCACGGGAAUACGUAGGGGGCAAGCGUUGUCCGGAAUUACUGGGCGUAAAGCGUGCGCAGGCGGUUCGUUAAGACAGAUGUGAAAUCCCCGGGCUUAACCUGGGAACUGCAUUUGUGACUGGCGAGCUAGAGUAUGGCAGAGGGGGGUAGAAUUCCACGUGUAGCAGUGAAAUGCGUAGAGAUGUGGAGGAAUACCGAUGGCGAAGGCAGCCCCCUGGGCCAAUACUGACGCUCAUGCACGAAAGCGUGGGGAGCAAACAGGAUUAGAGACCCCCGUAGUCCCUGUCUCUUAUAC